AGAGAUUGAACUGAAGAGUUUGAUCCUGGCUCAGAUUGAACGCUGGCGGGAUGCUUUACACAUGCAAGUCGGACGGCAGCACGGGCUUCGGCCUGGUGGCGAGUGGCGAACGGGUGAGUAAUGUAUCGGAACGUGCCCAGUAGCGGGGGAUAACUACGCGAAAGCGUGGCUAAUACCGCAUACGCCCUACGGGGGAAAGCGGGGGACCUUCGGGCCUCGCACUAUUGGAGCGGCCGAUAUCGGAUUAGCUAGUUGGUGGGGUAACGGCCUACCAAGGCGACGAUCCGUAGCUGGUUUGAGAGGACGACCAGCCACACUGGGACUGAGACACGGCCCAGACUCCUACGGGAGGCAGCAGUGGGGAAUUUUGGACAAUGGGGGCAACCCUGAUCCAGCCAUCCCGCGUGUGCGAUGAAGGCCUUCGGGUUGUAAAGCACUUUUGGCAGGAAAGAAACGGCACGGGCUAAUAUCCUGUGCAACUGACGGUACCUGCAGAAUAAGCACCGGCUAACUACGUGCCAGCAGCCGCGGUAAUACGUAGGGUGCAAGCGUUAAUCGGAAUUACUGGGCGUAAAGCGUGCGCAGGCGGUUCGGAAAGAAAGAUGUGAAAUCCCAGGGCUUAACCUUGGAACUGCAUUUUUAACUACCGGGCUAGAGUGUGUCAGAGGGAGGUGGAAUUCCGCGUGUAGCAGUGAAAUGCGUAGAUAUGCGGAGGAACACCGAUGGCGAAGGCAGCCUCCUGGGAUAACACUGACGCUCAUGCACGAAAGUGUGGGGAGCAAACAGGAUUAGAUACCCUGGUAGUCCACGCCCUAAACGAUGUCAACUAGCUGUUGGGGCCUUCGGGCCUUGGUAGCGCAGCUAACGCGUGAAGUUGACCGCCUGGGGAGUACGGUCGCAAGAUUAAAACUCAAAGGAAUUGACGGGGACCCGCACAAGCGGUGGAUGAUGUGGAUUAAUUCGAUGCAACGCGAAAAACCUUACCUACCCUUGACAUGUCUGGAAUCCCGAAGAGAUUUGGGAGUGCUCGCAAGAGAACCGGAACACAGGUGCUGCAUGGCUGUCGUCAGCUCGUGUCGUGAGAUGUUGGGUUAAGUCCCGCAACGAGCGCAACCCUUGUCAUUAGUUGCUACGAAAGGGCACUCUAAUGAGACUGCCGGUGACAAACCGGAGGAAGGUGGGGAUGACGUCAAGUCCUCAUGGCCCUUAUGGGUAGGGCUUCACACGUCAUACAAUGGUCGGGACAGAGGGUUGCCAACCCGCGAGGGGAGCCAAUCCCAGAAACCCGGUCGUAGUCCGGAUCGCAGUCUGCAACUCGACUGCGUGAAGUCGGAAUCGCUAGUAAUCGCGGAUCAGCAUGUCGCGGUGAAUACGUUCCCGGGUCUUGUACACACCGCCCGUCACACCAUGGGAGUGGGUUUUACCAGAAGUAGUUAGCCUAACCGCAAGGGGGCGAUUACCACGGUAGGAUUCAUGACUGGGGUGAAGUCGUAACAAGGUAGCCGUAUCGGAAGGUGCGGCUGGAUCACCUCCUUUAAGA
RNAcentral lists this ribosomal RNA (1540 nucleotides) under Bordetella pertussis. Its description in RNAcentral is "bacterial SSU rRNA". It matches the Rfam family "Bacterial small subunit ribosomal RNA". Lineage: Bacteria; Pseudomonadati; Pseudomonadota; Betaproteobacteria; Burkholderiales; Alcaligenaceae. The record is from RNAcentral.